RNAcentral lists this small nuclear RNA (23 nucleotides) under Arabidopsis thaliana (thale cress). RNAcentral describes it as "snRNA_16032". Lineage: Eukaryota; Viridiplantae; Streptophyta; Magnoliopsida; Brassicales; Brassicaceae. The record is from RNAcentral.
ACUGUUAACACAAAAUAAACUCU